RNAcentral lists this long non-coding RNA (3232 nucleotides) under Sus scrofa (pig). RNAcentral's name for it is "lncRNA (ENSSSCG00000058817.1)". Lineage: Eukaryota; Metazoa; Chordata; Mammalia; Artiodactyla; Suidae. The record is from RNAcentral.
UGUGUGUGAGAUAUCUAAAUGCAGAGUGACAAGUCGAUUAAAUAGUAAAGAGGAAAGUUUCGUUUUGAGUUUUGUCUCCAAUUGGUAUCAAUUUCAUAAUUGGAAGGAAAUCCUAAAAAAGCAAUGUAAACAAUUGGGACACUGUAGGUCCCUGUGAGCAAGCAGAAGAUUCCAAAAGCCCAACCUCGGUACUGCCAAGCCCUACCCAGGGGACACACAGAAGCAGGCAGCUGCCUCCUCUGCCUCUUCAAUUGCUCUGUGCAUCUUAACCACUUUAGAUAGAAAUUAGAUUUAAUUCCUGCAGGAGUUCCAAAUGCUAAGAUUUGUUAUCUAGGGAGGCCAUACCACCAGAUUUUUAUGACUUUCCAACAGUCUUCCCCAGGCUUCGUUUGUCUCUCAGGGUCAUGGUCGCAAGCUCGUGGACUGGCCCCUGGGAAUGUCAGAUAGUCCUGCUCCCCUCCAGGCAACCUAGACCCUAUUCUUUCUUUCUUUUUUCCCUAUUAUUUCUUUCUCAACUCCAGCUAAGGCUGCAGUUUUAUUUCUCUCUUCAUCCGCGAUGGCCGUUUCUCUCACUCAGCCGUUUCACACGUUGAGUUCACCUUUUACCUGCACGGGAAGUGCUACUGAGACAGUACUGACACAACGAUGCGUUGACCCAAACCCACUCAAUGUGUUUUAUGUGCCACAGGAAGGGAAGGAAAAUUAUACUCGUUGAAUUUCCAUUACGCAUCAGAUACGUGUCUAAGACCUUCCCCAUGCGUUAUUUGUUUGAUAUAAUUGAUACGGUGGUUUGCCCAUCAUCCUCCGUCUGUGCCAGCACUUCCCAGGGGCUACGGUGGAAUUCCGUUCAAUUAAAUAUCUUCCUCCCAGCAGCACAUCCCGCCUCUUAAUCCAGAUGAACCUCAAGUCCAGCUCACUUGCCCCUGCUUUCUCCACUGCUGUCUUCCCAAGGUCCCCUCUGCCUUUCCUAUUCUUUCCUGAUUCCAAUCUUUCUACAUGAAGCUCUGAUCUCAUCUCCCAAUUCAAGAAAGUUCUAAAUGAAAUGCAUCCGUCCCUCAGAUGCUGAGAGUGACCCCACCGAGAGGGAGAAAUUGUGGUAAAACUGACUUUCUAACGUCCCUACCAUUUUUCUAAAUUCAUCUGUUUUGAAUCAAAGGCUCACAUUAAGUGAAUGUGAUUCUCCCAACAGGAUAAAAAUGAAUGUAUAGCACUUACCACACAGUUUCUCCAAGCUUUUCUUCCACGUUUUCUUUCCAAGUGGCGAAGGACUCUGCUAAAAGAGAAGUUGCUAAAAUACGCCAGUGUUCCUCGAAAGAUUAGGGAGUAAAGAUAAGAAUCAUAGAUCAAAAAAAUGAAUGAACAGUCACAUAAGCAGCCCUGAGGAGAUUUCUGGGAGCUGCUGAAAAGCGGGGAAUCCUGAUCCCUCUAUGUGGAAACUCGAAUGCACACACACACACACACACAAACACACACACCCCCACCCGUCACCAUUUACCCUCUGUUGUAGCAUUUAAAAAUCUAAUGUGCUUCAUUGCCUCCAUUUUUGCACAUGUUGAAUUUCCAAGCAUAAAAGCUGUAAAACACACACGUACACACACACACACACACACACACACACAAGCACACACACAUCAAUUUUUGCAAUAGGAUUCUUGAUAUUAGGUGCUGGAUGAGACUGGUUUUUUUAAAACAGUUAUGGCCCUGGAAAAAAAGGUGCUAAGUUCCUAAAAGAACUGUGAGAGACUGGUCCAGUCACCUCCCUGAGGCUUGAUGCCCUAAGGCAUUUCCAUUCCGUCUUCUCAUCCCUCAGCAACAUAACCCCUAAAAGAGGAAGCAUCCUGUGUUAAGAAACUAGCCCCUCCCUUUAGCUCCCCCUACUGGUAAGAGAGGACGUCUACUUCCUGACUCCAAAGGAGGGCAGCCCUGCAGGAAUCCUGAUGAGAUUUCAGGUGACCGCAGGGAGUGGAGAUGGAUGAUUCAUUUCUCGGUUACAUACCUGAUGAGGAAUGGAGCUGGCUCAUCGUCCUAAGCCACUCAAGCAAGGAAGAUGGAACCCCGGGCAGCACAGGGGCAGGGAACUUGGUGCAGGAAUGCUGGAUGAUGUCACCAGUGCAAGGCAGAAUGUGGUAAGGAUUGUGGUAUUUUAGCAUUUUUCCACCUUAUGUCUUGGAGUAGGAAGUAAUAGAACGUGUGCGUGCUUCAUAAAUAUUUCUCUGGAACUUGUUUCAAGAUAGAAGAAGCAAGUUUCUUGUCUCCAUCAUCUCAACCUAAUUUUAAAAAAGAGGCUUCCAAACUCAUUUGAGCAACGACAACGACGCAGAACAAAUGCGUCAUUUUUGAUGGCAGUCAUUAUGAAAGGAAAAACAUUUCCUUACACCUGUUUCGCUGUGUUUGUUCAAAAGAACUGCUCAGUCCUUAUCGCUUCAGGUUGCAUAGGUUGUUGCACAACGAAAGUAGCUGCAAUAUUCCCGCUACCGUGAAGACUUCCAGUGGCGCAUUUCGUGAUUCACGUUUACUCUCUGCUUUCAUUUGUGGACCACAGGCUGAGAUGUGCUGAGCAAUGUUUAACAGCUGGAGCUCCUGUGGUGGGAAAAGCAGGGAAACACACCUGAUGGGUCAAGGUGUCAUCACAUCUGAUUAGCCAUCGUGGCUAAUUUCAGGUUACCGAUAUGACAGCACUAAAUGUGAGGUUGGGAAGAGAGGAGCCCAUGGAUUAGCUCAGAAGCUUGUGUCCGCCACCGCCAGGACACCACCGAGCAGGGAAGGAGGCUAGCAAGAGCCCCGCAGCCCGAACCCUGGUUGUUUCUUUCUGUUUUAUGCUAAGUGCCCUUCCUCAAACAUUUCCAAACGGCAUAGAAAGAAUACAUAUGGUGCUCACUACAAGCAUGCACAGAAAUAAAAGUGAAAUACAGACAAUGAAAAAUUCACUUUUUGAGAGAAGUCUUCCUAGAUGAUGGAGAAGGAGCUAAUUGUGUGUGUGGCGUGGUAGGUAACAAGCCCAUUUUUAAGAAGACGAAAUAGGAGUUCCCGUUGUAGCUCAGCGGUUAAAGACCUGAAGUUGUCUCCUGUAAGGAGAUGGGUUCCAUCCCUGGCCUCGCUCAGUGGAUUAAGGAUCCAGCAUUGCCACAAGUUGCAGCGUAGGUCACAGGUUCGGCUUGGAUCCACUGUGACUGUGGCUGUGGCGUAGGCUGAAGCUGCAGCUCUAAUUUUGACCCCUGGCCCAGGAACUUCC